Molecule: ribosomal RNA, 371 nt
Filed under: uncultured bacterium
Lineage: Bacteria
Description: bacterial SSU rRNA
Rfam family: Bacterial small subunit ribosomal RNA
Source: RNAcentral
ACUCCUACGGGGAGGCAGCAGUGGGGAAUAUUGCACAAUGGGCGCAAGCCUGAUGCAGCCAUGCCGCGUGUGUGAAGAAGGCCUUCGGGUUGUAAAGCACUUUCAGUCGUGAGGAAGGUAGUGUAGUUAAUAGCUGCAUAUUUGACGUUUAGCGACAGAAGAAGCACCGGCUAACUCCGUGCCAGCAGCCGCGGUAAUACGGAGGGUGCGAGCGUUAAUCGGAAUUACUGGGCGUAAAGCGCAUGCAGGUGGUUUGUUAAGUCAGAUGUGAAAGCCCGGGGCUCAACCUCGGAAAUUGCAUUUGGAAAACUGGCAAGACUAGAGUACUGUAGAGGGGGGUAGAAUUUCAGGUGUAGCGGUGAAAUGCGUAG